UUUCUGUAGUUGAGAGUCAACGACGGUUUUUCAGACCGUAGACCUUGGGUAAUGUCCAAGCAGAAAUU
This 68-nucleotide transfer RNA is filed under the name Casuarius casuarius (southern cassowary). RNAcentral's name for it is "tRNA-Glu". Lineage: Eukaryota; Metazoa; Chordata; Aves; Casuariiformes; Casuariidae. The record is from RNAcentral.